AUUUGGUGAGGAUGUUGACUUGGUUGGAGGGAAUACUCAAAAUAAGAGCUUCUUGGGCUUAAGUAAUGUUGAACAUUGCGGGAAAAUGAGAGCAUUGGAGAAACUAAUGUCCUCUUGGGUUUCACAAAGUGACAAGAUUCUUCUUUUCAGCUAUUCUGUAAGGAUGCUGGACAUACUUGAGAAAUUUAUUAUACGCAAAGGCUAUGGUUUUUCAAGACUUGAUGGGUCCACCCCAACUGGCCUGCGCCAGUCUCUAGUUGAUGACUUCAACUCCAGUCCAAGCAAACAGGUAUUCCUAUUAUCAACAAAAGCUGGUGGCCUUGGCCUUAACCUUGUUAGCG
This 341-nucleotide unclassified non-coding RNA is filed under the name Hevea brasiliensis (rubber tree). Lineage: Eukaryota; Viridiplantae; Streptophyta; Magnoliopsida; Malpighiales; Euphorbiaceae. The record is from RNAcentral.